GACGAACGCUGGCGGCGUGCUUAACACAUGCAAGUCGAGCGGUAAGGCCCUUUCGGGGGUACACGAGCGGCGAACGGGUGAGUAACACGUGGGUGACCUGCCCUCAGCUCUGGGAUAAGCCUGGGAAACCGGGUCUAAUACUGGAUAUGACUCCAUGACGCAUGUUGUGGGGUGAAAGCCUUGUGCGGCUGAGGAUGGGCCCGCGGCCUAUCAG
RNAcentral lists this ribosomal RNA (214 nucleotides) under uncultured bacterium. RNAcentral describes it as "partial 16S ribosomal RNA". It matches the Rfam family "Bacterial small subunit ribosomal RNA", at positions 28 to 244 of the family's 1533-position model. The record is from RNAcentral.